Long non-coding RNA from Hypanus sabinus (Atlantic stingray), 3886 nucleotides. RefSeq lists it as uncharacterized. The record is from RefSeq and is a predicted model, not a curated record. The transcript has 3 exons. NCBI's taxonomy places the organism in Eukaryota, Metazoa, Chordata, Chondrichthyes, Myliobatiformes, Dasyatidae.
ACCUGCUUCAGUAACCAUGUGAAAGGAAUCAGCUGCCAAAUUUUAAUCAUUCAUUACACACAGUUUGACAAAAUAGUCUAAAACAACAUCCGGGUGUAGCUUAGGCAGCUCAAUCAGUAAAUAUUAGUAUGCCAGGAACAUAAAAACAUAUGUACUGUACGUAAACAGAACUGUUCACAGCCACGUCGAUCCAGGAAGUACUUUACAGCUAGUGAGGUGAAGGUGGUGACCAAGCAGCUUAGAGGAGGGAGAUUGAACGGUGCUACAGCAGCUCAACGACAGCAAGGCAAAGAAGCUUGAGUAUUGACUUUGGGAAGAGGAAACUGGAGGACCAGGAGCCAGUCCCCAUUGGGGGUCAGCAGGUUUAAACUCUUCAGUGUUAUUACCUCUGUGGGCCCAGCAAGUAAGGGCAAUUACGAAGAAAGCACGGCAGUUCCACAACUUCUUUAGGAGUUUGUGAAGGUCUGGCACGUCAUCAAAAGCUUUGACAAACUUCUGUAGAGGUGUGGUGGAGGGUAUAUUGACUGGCUGCAUCACAAUCUGAUAUGGAAGCACCGAUGCUUUUGAAAGGAAAAUCUUACAGAAUGUAGGGGAUACGGCCUAGUCUAUCACAGGGUUCUUUUGAUGACCCUGACCUGGAGUUACACACAGACUUCGGUUCUUUGCUAGAAUGGGAUCUGUUCUCAGGGUUUCAGGACCAGCCAAUGUUCAGAUUGAGAGCCAGGGGUUAGCCUGAGAGGCAGCCUAGUGUUUGGAAGCAUAAGAUCUCGGGGCUCUGGAGACGGGCGGAUCGGGGGUCGGUGUCACCCAAGAUCUUUGCAAUCUUCAGACACAGAGCUCAAAAAAAGCAACGAAAUGGACUUUCAAGAUCGUGAACCAGCAGGUACUGUACACAAAAUCCUGGAGAAACACAGUGGAAUGCAUCGCCUUGCAGCAACAAUCAACACAGUCUGAAGUUUGUGCUGGGGGGAGCCUGCAAGUGUCACCAAUAUAGCAUGCCCACAACUCACUAACUGUAACCCUAAUCGAUCGUCUUUGGAACACGGGAGGAAAACUGAGCACCUGGAGGAAAAUCUCUUGGUCAAGGGGAGAACGUGCAGGCUCCUUACAGAGAACGAUGGGAAAUGAACCCCAAUUGGUGAUAGUAAAGCAAAGUUUAACCCAUACCACUUUAAGGGUGUUGAUCUUCCAACUUACUCAACUCACCAUAUAAUUCCAUGUACUUUGAUUCACUGGGGAGUCCUAAAGCACUUUUAAUGUUCUCAAGAUGUCCUAAAGUAUUUUUACAGUGAACAAGCAACACUUAUGAUGGUCACUACUGCAAUCUAGAAACUGCAACUGAAAAUCUUCAAACUUCUAUUCUUAAAAUUGUGACACAUAAAAAUGAUUUUACCAUCUGCAUUUUUCUCCAAAAGUAGAGAGAAAGACUUGAAAAGUUCACAUACCACCACAAUAAGUUCACAGGUUCACUGUUUGUACACCUGGCCAGGUUCCUGGAACUGUAUGACUCAUUAUCCCAACAAAACAGUAGCUACACAGUACAAACUGAAGAAAUGCCAAGGAUUUGGAGAAACAAGAGACUGCAGAUACCAGAAAUCUUGAGGGACACACAAAACACUGGAGCAACUGUGCAUUUUUGUGGUCUUCACUUCCAAGGGUGAUAUUGUCAAUUUUUAUGGAGAGCUUAAAACAUGGCUGGUUAGGUAGUGGUUGAUACAGGACCCAUGUCUUUUUUUAUAUUCAAAACAAAACCGAGGACCCUAGUGUUUUGGGAAAGGCAUGCAACAUGGGUCAGAGUGUGCCGCAGUGGUGCUGUCAUCCACGCACUAAAGCUUCAUGAUAGUGGUGGUGCUGGUCUUGUCUGUUUCGGUGUGUGACCCUGCAGUCGACUGUAUUGUUAUGCUUCACUUACAAAGAUGUCUGUCUCUCUCUCUCUCUCUCCCUCUCCCUCUUCCUCUUCCCCACCCCCCCCCCCAAAAAGAGAUUCAGUGAUGUUGGAAAUCUUGGUCAACCCAGCUAGAUUCUCCUAUCUUUGAGUUUCCUUGACUUUUUUUAAUACAGUAUAUCAAAAAAGCUUUAUUCAUAAUAAAAAAUUAUUUACAAGAAUAAACUACAUUUUUAGAUGAUGCAUUAAAUAGUGUCUUAGCACAUUCCUUAAAACGUAACAAAAUACAAUAAGACUUGCAGUGGCAAAAAUUGAUCCAAAAUCAAGACAAUUGCCACCAUCCUGAGAUGGCAGACCAAGUUGUUAUACUUGUGUGACACACCUACAGCUCUAAUGAUUGCUCUAAAGAGGUGAAUUUCUUAUACCAAUUUUUUAUUCGCAAUUAGUAAACAUACAAUUACUAUUGAAUGUUAUCUCAGUGACCAACAAAGAUGUGACUUCUCUCCACUGCAAACUGCCAUGAAAUAAGCAUGAAUAAGUAACAGCCCCCACUCAAGUGACUUGUUACCAUAACAACGCACAACACAGAAUAUACGGCUCCUACAGGACUGUUGUCACUCAGGAGGCCUCCUAGGGUGGAAUGCUACUACAAUAAUUCAACCACCCCCUCCAGUGCCUGAAGAACUCUAUACUGUGGUCCUUCCCUAACGAGCCCUUGCAGUGGCUGCACAAAUCUCCACUGCGUCCCCUCAGCAUGUACUCCUGCAGCUAGUCGGCAGCAUUCCUCUGUGGACGUGUUGGCAGACCAGCAAGUUGCGGGCACACCAAAGGGCGUCUUUCACCGAGAUGAUGAUCUGCCAGCAGCAUUUGAUGUCCGUCUCUGUGUGUCCCUGGGAACAGCCCUUGGAUCAGAGAGUCCUCUGUCAUGCAGGUACUUGGGAUGAACAUGACACAGGCUCUGACAUCAUGACGUGUGUGAUCAUGAUUUUUCCAUGACUGCUCUUGGCAAAUUUUUCUACACGAGGUUUGCUAUUGCUGCCUUCUGGGCAGUGUCUUACGAGACAAGUGAUGCCCCAUCCAUUAUCAGUCCUCUUCAGAGAUUGUCUGCCUGGCAUCAGUAGUUGCAUAACCAAGACUCGUGAUAUGCACCAUCUGCUCAUAUGACUAUCCACCACCGACUACCAUGGAUUCACGUGACCCUAAUCAGGGGUCUAAGGUGUAGCAAGGUGCUACACCUUGCCCAAGGGUGACCUGCAGGCUAGCGGAGGGAAGGAGUGCCUUACACUUCCUUUGGUAGAGACGUAUCUCCACCCGCCAACCCAAAUAAUAACAACGUAUUUAUAGAGCACUUUUCAUACAAACUAUUUAGUUCAAAGAGCUCUACGAUGGAAGUAUAUAAAUGGAGCAAACGUGAAAAUAAGACAAAAAGAUGUCACUUAAAUGCAAGGUUUAAUAAAUAGGUUUUGAGCCCCGUCACUGAACUGUUCCCACAGCCUAUGGACUCACUUUCAAGAAUUUUUCACCUCAUGUUCUCGAUAUUUAUUGCUUAUUUAUUUAUUAUGUUUUCUUUUUGUAUUUGCAGAGUUUCUUGUCCUUUGCACAUUGUCUGUCCUGUUAGUGCAGUCUUUCACUAAUUGUUUCUGCUAUUGACUGUAUUGAGAAUGAUGGCAGGAAAUGAAUCUCAGGGUUGUAUAUGGUGAUAUAUGUACACAGAUAAUAAAUUUACUUUGAACUUUGAGAGUGUCAGCUGAGCCUGUGUCCCUCACAAACUGCCGGAGAAACUCAGCAGGCCAGGCAGCAUCUAUGGAAAAGAGUACAGUCGACGUCUCAGCCUGAAACAACUGUACUCUUCUCCAUAGAUGUUGCUCCCCCAGCAUUUUGUGUGUGCUUCUUGGAUUAUCAGCAUCUGCAGAUUUUCUCUUGUUUGAGUCUGUAUCCUUGAUGGUUUUAGGUAUUGAGUUCCACAGUUUUGGAGUGUAGUUCGAAAUAAAAGCUCACCUG